This 582-nucleotide long non-coding RNA is filed under the name Malus domestica (apple). RNAcentral describes it as "long non-coding RNA (MDOM_LNC007970)". The record is from RNAcentral. Lineage: Eukaryota; Viridiplantae; Streptophyta; Magnoliopsida; Rosales; Rosaceae.
AAUCAUUUAGGCUGAUUGUUGAUCAUUCUGCUUCAGUUUCUUAGCGAGAAAAGUUGCCGAAAUAGAUGUUUCACUUGUUGUUAACUUUCCACAGGCUUGUUCUUGAACUGGGUUGGAGGGCCUUCUGCUAGACUUACCCCCAAAGGUUUGAAUUUACUCCUUUUAUCUAGAUCGGAAUUUUGAUUCAAGGGUGGUGGACACUUGAUCUUGAAUCGGACUUGUGAUUUCUUCAAGGGCUUCGAGGUUUGAUCUUGAAUGAAAUUGGACCAUGAGGAGCUUCACGUGGACACUUGAUCUUAAAUCGGACUUGUGAUUUCUUCAAGGGCUUCGAGGUUUGAUCUUGAAUGAAAUUGGACCAUGAGGAGCUUCACGUGGCAAGUGAUCUUCGGUUUUGUCGGGGAUGAAUCAGCACAUGUUUGUUACGCUUGUCUCCACAUGCUUCAAUGUAUCAUUUUCACUUGCCUUACUUGCUCCCCUUGCUUAAGUAGUAUUUUUCCUGGUUUUCCUCCAUGCAUGUGUGGCAUCUUCUCUUGCAGUAUUUGCCUUCUGAUUGCAUUUGGAUGGUUCAUCACUUCUUGGUAA